This 506-nucleotide ribosomal RNA is filed under the name uncultured bacterium. RNAcentral describes it as "partial 16S ribosomal RNA". It matches the Rfam family "Bacterial small subunit ribosomal RNA", at positions 29 to 523 of the family's 1533-position model. The record is from RNAcentral.
AGUGAACGCUGGCGGUAGGCCUAACACAUGCAAGUCGAACGGCAGCACAGAGGAGCUUGCUCCUUGGGUGGCGAGUGGCGGACGGGUGAGGAAUACAUCGGAAUCUACUCUGUCGUGGGGGAUAACGUAGGGAAACUUACGCUAAUACCGCAUACGACCUACGGGUGAAAGCAGGGGACCUUCGGGCCUUGCGCGAUUGAAUGAGCCGAUGUCGGAUUAGCUAGUUGGCGGGGUAAGGGCCCACCAAGGCGACGAUCCGUAGCUGGUCUGAGAGGAUGAUCAGCCACACUCGAACUGAGACACGGUCCAGACUCCUACGGGAGGCAGCAGUGGGGAAUAUUGGACAAUGGGCGCAAGCCUGAUCCAGCCAUACCGCGUGGGUGAAGAAGGCCUUCGGGUUGUAAAGCCCUUUUGUUGGGAAAGAAAUCCAGCUGGCUAAUACCCGGUUGGGAUGACGGUACCCAAAGAAUAAGCACCGGCUAACUUCGUGCCUGCAGCCGCCGCCG